AGAGUUUGAUCAUGGCUCAGGAUGAACGCUAGCUACAGGCUUAACACAUGCAAGUCGAGGGGAAACGAAGAGGUAGCAAUACCUUUGUCGGCGACCGGCGCACGGGUGAGUAACACGUAUGCAAUCCACCUGUAACAGGGGGAUAACCCGGAGAAAUCCGGACUAAUACCCCAUAAUAUGGGCGCUCCGCAUGGAGAGCCCAUUAAAGAGAGCAAUUUUGGUUACAGACGAGCAUGCGCUCCAUUAGCCAGUUGGCGGGGUAACGGCCCACCAAAGCGACGAUGGAUAGGGGUUCUGAGAGGAAGGUCCCCCACAUUGGAACUGAGACACGGUCCAAACUCCUACGGGAAGCAGCA
RNAcentral lists this ribosomal RNA (356 nucleotides) under uncultured bacterium. RNAcentral describes it as "bacterial SSU rRNA". It matches the Rfam family "Bacterial small subunit ribosomal RNA", at positions 8 to 353 of the family's 1533-position model. The record is from RNAcentral.